UACAGCCAUAUCAUGUUGAAACAACUGUUCUCGUACGAUCACCGAAGUUAAGCAACAUCGAGCCUGGUCAGUACCUAGAUGGGUGACCGCUUGGGAGUACCAGGUACUGCUU
Non-coding RNA from Acanthosepion pharaonis, 112 nucleotides. Lineage: Eukaryota; Metazoa; Mollusca; Cephalopoda; Sepiida; Sepiidae. The record is from the annotation of a GenBank genome assembly.